GGAGAGUUGGCAGAGUGGUCGAAUGCGGCAGUCUUGAAAACUGUGGGGUCACACCUCCGGGGGUUCGAAUCCCUCACUCUCCG
This 83-nucleotide transfer RNA is filed under the name Candidatus Onthonaster equi. RNAcentral describes it as "tRNA-Ser". It matches the Rfam family "tRNA". From Rfam's summary of the family: Transfer RNA (tRNA) molecules are approximately 80 nucleotides in length. Lineage: Bacteria; Pseudomonadati; Bacteroidota; Flavobacteriia; Flavobacteriales; Weeksellaceae. The record is from RNAcentral.